AUUGAACGCUGGCGGCAUGCCUUACACAUGCAAGUCGAACGGCAGCACGGGUGCUUGCCCCUGGUGGCGAGUGGCGAACGGGUGAGUAAUACAUCUGAACAUGUCCCGUAUUGGGGGAGGGCCCGGCGAAAGCCGGAUUAAUACUGCAUACGAUUUACGUAUGACAGCGGGGGACCUUGUGGCCUCGCGCUUUAGGGUUGGCCGAUGACGGAUUAGCUAGUUGGUGGGGUAAAGGCCUACCAAGGCGACGACCAGUAGCUGGUCUGAGAGGACGAUCAGCCACACUGGGACUGAGACACGGCCCAGACUCCUACGGGAGGCAGCAGUGGGGAAUUUUGGACAAUGGGCGAAAGCCUGAUCCAGCAAUGCCGCGUGUGUGAAGAAGGCCUUCGGGUUGUAAAGCACUUUUGUCAGGAAAGAAAACCUUGGCCCUAAUACGGUCGGGGGAUGACGGUACCGGAAGAAUAAGCACCGGCUAACUACGUG
RNAcentral lists this ribosomal RNA (486 nucleotides) under uncultured bacterium. RNAcentral's name for it is "partial 16S ribosomal RNA". It matches the Rfam family "Bacterial small subunit ribosomal RNA", at positions 30 to 507 of the family's 1533-position model. The record is from RNAcentral.